RNAcentral lists this ribosomal RNA (1428 nucleotides) under Salmonella enterica subsp. enterica serovar Braenderup. Its description in RNAcentral is "bacterial LSU rRNA". It matches the Rfam family "Bacterial large subunit ribosomal RNA", at positions 1 to 1378 of the family's 2925-position model. Lineage: Bacteria; Pseudomonadati; Pseudomonadota; Gammaproteobacteria; Enterobacterales; Enterobacteriaceae. The record is from RNAcentral.
GGGUUGUGAGGUUAAGCGACUAAGCGUACACGGUGGAUGCCCUGGCAGUCAGAGGCGAUGAAGGGCGUGCUAAUCUGCGAUAAGCGCCGGUAAGGUGAUAUGAACCGUUAUAACCGGCGAUACCCGAAUGGGGAAACCCAGUGUGACUCGUCACACUAUCAUUAACUGAAUCCAUAGGUUAAUGAGGCGAACCGGGGGAACUGAAACAUCUAAGUACCCCGAGGAAAAGAAAUCAACCGAGAUUCCCCCAGUAGCGGCGAGCGAACGGGGAGGAGCCCAGAGCCUGAAUCAGCAUGUGUGUUAGUGGAAGCGUCUGGAAAGGCGCGCGAUACAGGGUGACAGCCCCGUACACAAAAGCGCAUGUGCUGUGAGCUCGAUGAGUAGGGCGGGACACGUGGUAUCCUGUCUGAAUAUGGGGGGACCAUCCUCCAAGGCUAAAUACUCCUGACUGACCGAUAGUGAACCAGUACCGUGAGGGAAAGGCGAAAAGAACCCCGGCGAGGGGAGUGAAAAAGAACCUGAAACCGUGUACGUACAAGCAGUGGGAGCACCCUUUUGGGUGUGACUGCGUACCUUUUGUAUAAUGGGUCAGCGACUUAUAUUCUGUAGCAAGGUUAACCGAAUAGGGGAGCCGGAGGGAAACCGAGUCUUAAUUGGGCGUUAAGUUGCAGGGUAUAGACCCGAAACCCGGUGAUCUAGCCAUGGGCAGGUUGAAGGUUGGGUAACACUAACUGGAGGACCGAACCGACUAAUGUUGAAAAAUUAGCGGAUGACCUGUGGCUGGGGGUGAAAGGCCAAUCAAACCGGGAGAUAGCUGGUUCUCCCCGAAAGCUAUUUAGGUAGCGCCUCGUGAAUUCAUCUCCGGGGGUAGAGCACUGUUUCGGCUAGGGGGCCAUCCCGGCUUACCAACCCGAUGCAAACUGCGAAUACCGGAGAAUGUUAUCACGGGAGACACACGGCGGGUGCUAACGUCCGUCGUGAAGAGGGAAACAACCCAGACCGCCAGCUAAGGUCCCAAAGUCAUGGUUAAGUGGGAAACGAUGUGGGAAGGCCCAGACAGCCAGGAUGUUGGCUUAGAAGCAGCCAUCAUUUAAAGAAAGCGUAAUAGCUCACUGGUCGAGUCGGCCUGCGCGGAAGAUGUAACGGGGCUAAACCAUGCACCGAAGCUGCGGCAGCGAACGUAUCACUUAAAGCGAUUCAGCGGGUUACGAUUGACGGAGCGAAGCGACGUCAAAGCGUAUACAAAGUCGAGUCGGUUUAAGGAUACGUUCGUUGGGUAGGGGAGCGUUCUGUAAGCCUGUGAAGGUGGCCUGUGAGGGUUGCUGGAGGUAUCAGAAGUGCGAAUGCUGACAUAAGUAACGAUAAAGCGGGUGAAAAGCCCGCUCGCCGGAAGACCAAGGGUUCCUGUCCAACGUUAAUCGGGGCAGG